This 74-nucleotide transfer RNA is filed under the name Bacteriophage sp. RNAcentral describes it as "tRNA-Phe". It matches the Rfam family "tRNA". From Rfam's summary of the family: Transfer RNA (tRNA) molecules are approximately 80 nucleotides in length. The record is from RNAcentral.
GGCGAGGGAGAACGGCGGCUGUUCGCCGUGCCGAAAGGCACGGAGGCGCGGGUUCAAAUCCCGCUCUCGCCCCA